AUUGAACGCUGGCGGCAGGCCUAACACAUGCAAGUCGAGCGGAUGAAGGGAGCUUUCUCCUGGAGUCAGCGGCGGACGGGGGAGUAAUGCCUAUGAAUCUGCCUGCUAGUGGGGGAUAACGUCCGGAAACGGGGGCUACUACCGCAUCAGUCCUGAGGGUGAAAGAUGGGGAUCUUCGGACCGCACGCUAUCAGCUAAUCCUAGGUGGGUUUAGCUAGUAGGUGGGGUAAGGGCCUACCAAGGCGACGAUCCGUAACUGGUCUGAGAGGAUGAGCAGUCACACUGGAACUGGAACACGGUCCAGACUCCUACGGGAGGCAGCAGUGGGGAAUAUUGGACAAUGGGCGAAAGCCUGAUCCAGCAAUGCCGCGUGUGUGAAGAAGGUCUUCGGAUUGUAAAGCACUUUAAGUUGGGAGGAAGGGCAGUAAGUUAAUAACUUGCUGUUUUGACGUUACCAACAGAAUAAGCACCGGCUAACUUCGUG
RNAcentral lists this ribosomal RNA (484 nucleotides) under uncultured bacterium. RNAcentral describes it as "partial 16S ribosomal RNA". It matches the Rfam family "Bacterial small subunit ribosomal RNA", at positions 30 to 507 of the family's 1533-position model. The record is from RNAcentral.